UACUUUUUCAAAAGGUCCUAUGCGCCAAAAGUAAACAAACUGAGUUAGUUAUUGCAUUAUAUUCUGUGUACUCAAAACUAUACUAUCUGCUAACCCGAUUUCUUGAAACUCUUUUGUUUUAAAAUAUAUUAUUUAUCUACAAAACAACCUACAACUAUUCCUAGUAAAUUUCAAACUAAAUGGUUAUAGGUCAUAUUACCAACUUAUUGUUCUAUGUGCAUUCCAGUCCAACGUGUACAUAGAACUGUAGCAAAUCGACCUAUGAGCAAUUAUGAAUAUAUUUUAAUCAUCAUACACAUACGCUCUCAUCAAAAUGACCUAUGUUAAAAAUAAAAUGAAUAUUUAAAAAAUAAAUUAUACGUCGAUUUUGUAUGAAACAGAAUCAUUAAAAAUUUUACAAUCUUCAAUGUAUGUACAAUGUAUCCGAUUCUCGCGAAGAGUGUAGUCAUCAGCCAGGAGAGAGCAUGAAAUGUUUCAAUGCUGCCAAAGCCGAAGGGAAUAGUGCAAAACGACCUAACCGCCCUCUCUCGAAUUUGACAGAUUGAACGCGAGCAUAAAUUGGAUUGAACAAAAAAGCAUAAUUUUUGUUUUGACAUUAGUGAGAAUUGCUCUGUGGUUUGCACACGUGUUAUUUCAGUUUGUAAGAAAUCCUCUAAACAAUGUCCAAAUUGCAGUUACUUCUCGGUAAGAUUAGUUAUUUUUUUUAAUCAAAACGUAACGUCAAUGAUUAUUUUUAAUAAUAUUCACUCAGAUGCUGCUAAGCUUUUGAGCGAAGAAGACUCCGUGAAGUCAAGCGGUAAAACAACAAGAAAUCUGGGUUCAUUUUUGGAUUUGAACCUUAGUGUCGGCUCCGGUACUUCUCGGCCGUCAUUUACCGGCGGAAGAUCUUUUGCGGAAGUCUCCCGGUCCUCUACAAGCAGCGGGAGAUCUCGGUUGUCCAGGAAUGGAAUUUUCUAUUCUGCUUCAACUGAACCGCAACCUCCGAAUUUAAGCUCAGAUUUGGACUUUCCCAUAUUGACCGUAAAAAAAAGCUCCAGCAAAAUUCGCCCAACAGCUCGUACUCCUCGAAAGACCCUUGUGGAGCUUAACGGACCAAGGCGUCAUCCACAAGGAACCGAGUCCAAGGUAGGUGCCGAAAACCUGGUGUCGGGAACUCAAGGUGUGCAGGUCAAGUUAGCGAAUCGCUGGUCUUCGGCAUCUGUUGAUCAUUUGCAUACAAACGGCGGUUCCGACUCUGGGCUUCCGUUGACAGUUGUGAAAAGUUCGAACAAAAUCCGCCCACCUGCUCGAACUCCUCGAAAGCCUUUGGUUGAGCUGAACGGGUCAAGGUGUCAUCCGCAAGGUACCGAUGCCAAGACAGGUGACCAUUGGAUGCCAUCCGAACGGCCAACUUCGGUACUGCCGUACUUGGAAAACUCAGAGAAGGAAGCGACACCCACAUCAAGUCCUUUGAAGGAACGGAACGAGACGAAACAUCAGAAACAAAAAGAAGAUUCCGGAAAUUUGACCGUGCUUGACAUUACGUUCGGCGAUUUCAACGCGCCAAUCACAUCUACGCCUAAACCACGAAUACCUUAUUUGCUGCGGGACUCGGUCGAUAGUCAAAGAGAAGAAAUUGAGAAUUUUCCAGCAGUUUCCGUUGAUGGUUUGUAUUUGUUUUUUUUUUUUAUGGUCAAAUAGUAUCUAACGUGACUUAUUUCCGCAGAAAUGGACGACAGCUCGCUGAAACCUUCUAUCGCAGAUCGGUGGUCAUUUGCAGGAUGGGCAGGCCACGACCCGAGACCAGAUGUCCAAUCCCUUACAGUUUGCAUCCCGAUGGAAGGUCCAGCUGGAGCGUUCCCCGGCGCAAUCGAUCUUUCGGUCCAAACACGAUCUGGAAAGGAAUUGUUGGAUCGUCCAGUUCCGGCACCGGCCGUUUUGCGUUCCACUGAGGGUAAACCGCAGCCGAAGUCGGAAAUGUCGACAACCCCCCCUUCGUCUCGGGAAACACCGACUGAUCGAAGUUUUCAACAGACGCCGC
Molecule: RNA transcript, 2020 nt
Organism: Culex pipiens pallens (northern house mosquito)
Lineage: Eukaryota; Metazoa; Arthropoda; Insecta; Diptera; Culicidae
Exons: 4
Source: RefSeq, a predicted model, not a curated record